This 301-nucleotide ribosomal RNA is filed under the name uncultured bacterium. Its description in RNAcentral is "partial 16S ribosomal RNA". It matches the Rfam family "Bacterial small subunit ribosomal RNA", at positions 509 to 809 of the family's 1533-position model. The record is from RNAcentral.
CAGUCGCCGCGGUAAUACGGAGGGUGCAAGCGUUAAUCGGAAUUACUGGGCGUAAAGCGUGCGUAGGCGGUUCGUUAAGUCUGUUGUGAAAGCCCCGGGCUCAACCUGGGAAUGGCAAUGGAUACUGGCGAGCUAGAGUGUGUCAGAGGAUGGUGUAAUUCCCGGUGUAGCGGUGAAAUGCGUAGAGAUCGGGAGGAACAUCAGUGGCGAAGGCGGCCAUCUGGGACAACACUGACGCUGAGGCACGAAAGCGUGGGGAGCAAACAGGAUUAGAUACCCGAGUAGUCCCUGUCUCUUAUAA